AAAAAAUAAGUUUUUGGAGCGGGGAGUAUUCGGAUAGUCGUUUUUGAAUAAAAUGAAAUUGGUAAAAUGGUAGCUUACCUGGUUUAGAGCGCCGCGUCGCAUCGCAUGCUGCUACCGACUGAUUCUAAACUGCCGGAUUAUUUCCAACGGAAACGGCCGAUAUCUAGCCUGACAAUGGAAAUACACGAAAUUGGGCUGAAUCCUAGAUUACCUGUCCCAUCUUCGCGCGACACACGCGACGCGUCUUUGAGGACAGACAUUUCCUUAAAUCAAUGCCUGUUAUUCUGUUUAACCUCGUCGUACGCUUGCU
This 310-nucleotide long non-coding RNA is filed under the name Androctonus crassicauda. Lineage: Eukaryota; Metazoa; Arthropoda; Arachnida; Scorpiones; Buthidae. The record is from RNAcentral.